AUCCAGUUGACGAGUCCCAAAUAGGACGGAACGCGCCUCCUGUAU
Molecule: non-coding RNA, 45 nt
Organism: Schistosoma mattheei
Lineage: Eukaryota; Metazoa; Platyhelminthes; Trematoda; Strigeidida; Schistosomatidae
Source: Rfam